This 497-nucleotide ribosomal RNA is filed under the name uncultured bacterium. Its description in RNAcentral is "partial 16S ribosomal RNA". It matches the Rfam family "Bacterial small subunit ribosomal RNA", at positions 28 to 507 of the family's 1533-position model. The record is from RNAcentral.
GAUGAACGCUGGCGGCGUGCCUAAUACAUGCAAGUCGAGCGAACAGACGAGGAGCUUGCUCCUCUGACGUUAGCGGCGGACGGGUGAGUAACACGUGGAUAACCUACCUAUAAGACUGGGAUAACUUCGGGAAACCGGAGCUAAUACCGGAUAAUAUAUUGAACCGCAUGAUUCAAUAGUGAAAGACGGUUUUGCUGUCACUUAUAGAUGGAUCCGCGCCGCAUUAGCUAGUUGGUAAGGUAACGGCUUACCAAGGCAACGAUGCGUAGCCGACCUGAGAGGGUGAUCGGCCACACUGGAACUGAGACACGGUCCAGACUCCUACGGGAGGCAGCAGUAGGGAAUCUUCCGCAAUGGGCGAAAGCUUGACGGAGCAACGCCGCGUGAGUGAUGAAGGUCUUCGGAUCGUAAAGCUCUGUUAUUAGGGAAGAACAAAUGUGUAAGUAACUAUGCACGUCUUGACGGUACCUAAUCAGAAAGCCACGGCUAACUACGUG